CCUACGGUGGGCUGCAGUGGGGAAUAUUGGACAAUGGGGGCAACCCUGAUCCAGCCAUGCCGCGUGUGUGAAGAAGGCCCUCGGGUUGUAAAGCACUUUCAGUGAGGAAGAACGCCUGGUGGUUAAUACCCAUCAGGAAAGACAUCACUCACAGAAGAAGCACCGGCUAACUCCGUGCCAGCAGCCGCGGUAAUACGGAGGGUGCGAGCGUUAAUCGGAAUUACUGGGCGUAAAGCGCGCGUAGGUGGCUUGAUAAGCCGGUUGUGAAAGCCCCGGGCUCAACCUGGGAACGGCAUCCGGAACUGUCAAGCUAGAGUGCAGGAGAGGAAGGUAGAAUUCCCGGUGUAGCGGUGAAAUGCGUAGAGAUCGGGAGGAAUACCAGUGGCGAAGGCGGCCUUCUGGACUGACACUGACACUGAGGUGCGAAAGCGUGGGUAGCAAACAGGAUUAGAUACCCCUGUAGUC
This 465-nucleotide ribosomal RNA is filed under the name Vreelandella stevensii. RNAcentral describes it as "partial 16S ribosomal RNA". It matches the Rfam family "Bacterial small subunit ribosomal RNA", at positions 338 to 795 of the family's 1533-position model. Lineage: Bacteria; Pseudomonadati; Pseudomonadota; Gammaproteobacteria; Oceanospirillales; Halomonadaceae. The record is from RNAcentral.